RNAcentral lists this ribosomal RNA (497 nucleotides) under uncultured bacterium. RNAcentral's name for it is "partial 16S ribosomal RNA". It matches the Rfam family "Bacterial small subunit ribosomal RNA", at positions 28 to 507 of the family's 1533-position model. The record is from RNAcentral.
GAUGAACGCUGGCGGCGUGCCUAAUACAUGCAAGUCGAGCGAACAGACGAGGAGCUUGCUCCUCUGACGUUAGCGGCGGACGGGUGAGUAACACGUGGAUAACCUACCUAUAAGACUGGGAUAACUUCGGGAAACCGGAGCUAAUACCGGAUAAUAUAUUGAACCGCAUGGUUCAAUAGUGAAAGACGGUUUUGCUGUCACUUAUAGAUGGAUCCGCGCCGCAUUAGCUAGUUGGUAAGGUAACGGCUUACCAAGGCGACGAUGCGUAGCCGACCUGAGAGGGUGAUCGGCCACACUGGAACUGAGACACGGUCCAGACUCCUACGGGAGGCAGCAGUAGGGAAUCUUCCGCAAUGGACGAAAGCCUGACGGAGCAACGCCGCGUGAGUGAUGAAGGUCUUCGGAUCGUAAAACUCUGUUAUUAGGGAAGAACAAAUGUGUAAGUAACUAUGCACGUCUUGACGGUACCUAAUCAGAAAGCCACGGCUAGCUACGUG